This 882-nucleotide long non-coding RNA is filed under the name Felis catus (domestic cat). RNAcentral's name for it is "lncRNA (ENSFCAG00000052287.1)". The record is from RNAcentral. Lineage: Eukaryota; Metazoa; Chordata; Mammalia; Carnivora; Felidae.
CUAAAAAUUGUUAUGGCUAAGCAAUAAAUCCCUGGAAAAUGAUGCCUAUAUUUGUAAUAGAAAUGUCACCAGAGCUUUAAAUAUAGCAGUGUGACGUGUCUCUAUUACCAUGCAGCAAAGUCAAAUUCGUAAUUGAUUUUGACUUGUACCUCCUAUAAUGUGUGCUGAGUCUGGUGGCACUGUCCAGGAUUCUUACAAAUUUUAAACCCCAAUGUCAUUUAAUUAGACUAAUCUGCAAGUCAGUCUUCUCCCCUUGUAAUUUGUACACACCUUUCUCUUCUAAGAGCAGAUGAAUGGGUUCUUUGAGUAUUUGAUUUGUAAAUAAUGGAUUUCAGUAGUUGUUACAAUAGUUCUUGGAACUUUUAUAUCUUCCAGCUGCACUUAGAUGAUGAGAGGUAAAAUGAAGAAAUCUCCAAAUCAAAUUUUUCGUUCAUACAGAACUGAACCUCUGAUUGUAAGGGCACCGAUGGACAGUCUACAGCUGUUAUGAAACCAUGUGUCAACAUUACGUAUCAAAGUGAUGUGAUGGGGCUAGACUCUGGGGUUGAAAAGAUAUCACAAAAUAAGGACAAACUGAGAAACUGUCACAGAUCUGGGGAGAUGAAGGACACAUGAUGACAAAACGUUAUGUGGUAUGUUGCAUUCGACCCUGGAACACAGGGGCUGAAUGGAGAGAUGAGUGGAAUCGAACAAAGUCUGGCAUUUGGUUUAUAGUAAGGUACCAGUGUUGGUAACUUAGUUUUGAAAAAGUAAUGGGAAACAGUAACCUUAAUAAGUAAGACUGAGUGAAGGGGAUAUGGGGACUCUGUACAAUGUCUGCAAUUUUUCGAUAAAUCUAAAGUUAUUCCAAAAUAAAAGUUUAUUUUUAAGAAAAGAUAUCCA